This 73-nucleotide transfer RNA is filed under the name Pygoplites diacanthus. Its description in RNAcentral is "tRNA-Cys". The record is from RNAcentral. Lineage: Eukaryota; Metazoa; Chordata; Actinopteri; Pomacanthidae.
AAGUCCCGAGGUGUAUUAGACAUAUUAGAUUGCAAAUCUGAAGAAGCAGACUAAUCGUCUGCCGGGGCUUUCC